RNAcentral lists this ribosomal RNA (493 nucleotides) under uncultured bacterium. RNAcentral describes it as "partial 16S ribosomal RNA". It matches the Rfam family "Bacterial small subunit ribosomal RNA", at positions 28 to 506 of the family's 1533-position model. The record is from RNAcentral.
GACGAACGCUGGCGGCGUGCUUAACACAUGCAAGUCGAACGGUGAAGCGCCUUCCUUUUUGGUGGGUGUGGAUGAGUGGCGAACGGGUGAGUAACACGUGAGUAACCUGCCCCCUUCUUCUGGAUAACCGCAUGAAAGUGUGGCUAAUACGGGAUAUUCUGGGUCUGUCGCAUGAUGGGUCUGGGAAAGAUAUUGUUUCGGUGGGGGAUGGGCUCGCGGCCUAUCAGCUUGUUGGUGGGGUGAUGGCCUACCAAGGCGGUGACGGGUAGCCGGCCUGAGAGGGUGGACGGUCACACUGGGACUGAGACACGGCCCAGACUCCUACGGGAGGCAGCAGUGGGGAAUAUUGCACAAUGGGCGCAAGCCUGAUGCAGCGACGCCGCGUGAGGGAUGGAGGCCUUCGGGUUGGGAACCUCUUUCGCCAGUGAAGCAGGCCUGCCUCGUUUGUGGGUGGGUUGACGGUAGUUGGAUAAGAAGCGCCGGCUAACUACGU